UGCAGUCGAACGAUGAAGCCUUUCGGGGUGGAUUAGUGGCGAACGGGUGAGUAACACGUGGGCAAUCUGCCCUGCACUCUGGGACAAGCCCUGGAAACGGGGUCUAAUACCGGAUGACACUCUUUCUCGCAUGGGGGAGGGUUGAAAGCUCCGGCGGUGCAGGAUGAGCCCGCGGCCUAUCAGCUUGUUGGUGGGGUGAUGGCCUACCAAGGCGACGACGGGUAGCCGGCCUGAGAGGGCGACCGGCCACACUGGGACUGAGACACGGCCCAGACUCCUACGGGAGGCAGCAGUGGGGAAUAUUGCACAAUGGGCGGAAGCCUGAUGCAGCGACGCCGCGUGAGGGAUGACGGCCUUCGGGUUGUAAACCUCUUUCAGCAGGGAAGAAGCGCAAGUGACGGUACCUGCAGAAGAAGCACCGGCUAACUACGUGCCAGCAGCCGCGGUAAUACGUAGGGUGCGAGCGUUGUCCGGAAUUAUUGGGCGUAAAGAGCUCGUAGGCGGCUUGUCGCGUCGGAUGUGAAAGCCCGGGGCUUAACCCCGGGUCUGCAUUCGAUACGGGCAGGCUAGAGUGUGGUAGGGGAGAUCGGAAUUCCUGGUGUAGCGGUGAAAUGCGCAGAUAUCAGGAGGAACACCGGUGGCGAAGGCGGAUCUCUGGGCCAUUACUGACGCUGAGGAGCGAAAGCGUGGGGAGCGAACAGGAUUAGAUACCCUGGUAGUCCACGCCGUANACGUUGGGAACUAGGUGUUGGCGACAUUCCACGUCGUCGGUGCCGCAGCUAACGCAUUAAGUUCCCCGCCCUGG
This 805-nucleotide ribosomal RNA is filed under the name Streptomyces sp. RODXS14. RNAcentral's name for it is "bacterial SSU rRNA". It matches the Rfam family "Bacterial small subunit ribosomal RNA", at positions 56 to 873 of the family's 1533-position model. The record is from RNAcentral. Lineage: Bacteria; Bacillati; Actinomycetota; Actinomycetes; Kitasatosporales; Streptomycetaceae.